GCCGGGUGUGGUGGCGCGCGCCUGUAAUCCAAGCGUCCUGGAGGCUGAGGCUGGAGGAUGGGUGGAGCUCCGGAGCUCUGAGCUGCAGUGAACUAUGCUGAUCGGGGGUCCGCGCUCAGGUCGGCAUCGAUAUGGUCUCCCUGGGGGAGCCCGGGGCGACCAGGUCGUCUAAGGAGGGGUGAACCGACCCAGGCCGGAAACGGAGCAGGUCAAAGCCCGCGUGCCGCUCAAUAGCGGGAUGGCGCCUGAGAGUAGACGCUGCAGCACAGCCUGAGAUACUCAUCCAGACCCAGUCUUUU
Molecule: signal recognition particle RNA, 299 nt
Filed under: Oryzias melastigma (Indian medaka)
Lineage: Eukaryota; Metazoa; Chordata; Actinopteri; Beloniformes; Adrianichthyidae
Description: Metazoan signal recognition particle RNA (ENSOMEG00000017818.1)
Rfam family: Metazoan signal recognition particle RNA
About the family: The signal recognition particle (SRP) is a universally conserved ribonucleoprotein. It is involved in the co-translational targeting of proteins to membranes.
Source: RNAcentral